RNAcentral lists this ribosomal RNA (253 nucleotides) under uncultured bacterium. RNAcentral's name for it is "partial 16S ribosomal RNA". It matches the Rfam family "Bacterial small subunit ribosomal RNA", at positions 524 to 776 of the family's 1533-position model. The record is from RNAcentral.
UACGAAGGGGGCUAGCGUUGUUCGGAAUUACUGGGCGUAAAGCGUGUGUAGGCGGUUGUCCAAGUUGGAUGUGAAAGCCUUGAGCUCAACUCAAGAAAUGCAUUCAGGACUGGAUGGCUAGAGGACCGGAGAGGAUAGUGGAAUUCCCAGUGUAGUGGUGAAAUACGUAGAGAUUGGGAAGAACACCAGUGGCGAAGGCGGCUAUCUGGACGGUUUCUGACGCUAAGACUCGAAAGCGUGGGGAGCAAACAGG